CAAUUGUGCAAGAGGAGCCUUGCGCGCCGGGCGCGUAUCACCGAGCGCAUGGUACAAGCCGCCGGCUCCGGUGAUUAAUUAUCAGCAGCCGCUGGCCUCGCAUAUCACCUCGGCUUUCUCGGCAGAGCCAGCACACCCAGCACACCCUGCCGCCACCAGCGUGGCUGGGAUGGAGGAGCGGCUCUGGGGAGGACGCCGAGGCUGCUCCGGAGCGAGCCCUUAGGGAAACCAUGAAGUAACCCUGCACAUUCCAGUAACACAGUUAUGACAAAACAGAGCCCAACUAUGAAGUGAUCAAAUUUUUUAAAAUGUUAAGAAAGAAAAACAGCACAAACAAAAGUGCACAUAACAAUUCAAGAUUUCUUU
This is a long non-coding RNA of Phyllostomus discolor (pale spear-nosed bat), 366 nucleotides long. RefSeq lists it as uncharacterized. The transcript is spliced from 2 exons. Lineage: Eukaryota; Metazoa; Chordata; Mammalia; Chiroptera; Phyllostomidae. The record is from RefSeq and is a predicted model, not a curated record.